Long non-coding RNA from Gossypium arboreum, 726 nucleotides. RefSeq lists it as uncharacterized. The record is from RefSeq and is a predicted model, not a curated record. NCBI's taxonomy places the organism in Eukaryota, Viridiplantae, Streptophyta, Magnoliopsida, Malvales, Malvaceae. The transcript is spliced from 2 exons.
UUUCCUUCUUAAGUCAAACAACUUGAAUUUGAACAUUCCUCCGCUUCAAUCCUUAUCAUUUGGUACGAAGAGAGUUGCCUCUCCUUUCUCCGCGAGACAUACUUCCUUUGGAGUCGAGUUUUUCUUUGGCUUCUUAGAGCCUUAGGUCGACUUUGUUAGAGAGUGAUCCUACAUCUUUUUGAAUAUUAUUGAGUUUGAUUACUCUUUAAAAGUUACAAGCGAGAAAAUCUUAAUUUCUUUUCUUUGUCUCUUAGAGUUUUUUUAUUUAUUGCGAGUGUAUAACAGUGAGGUUUGCUUAGUUUUUCUUUUCUUGAGUUUUGUGUUCUUUUCGAGCUUUCAUAAUGAUUCACGAUACUAUGAUUGGGAAGUUGCAAAGGGAUCAAGAGGUUCGAAAUGCUCAAGAUUAGAAACGUGACACUAUUCUAGACACAAUCAGCAAAAUUUUAAAAUGUUUAAGUACCAAAAUUGAGCGUCAGAAUUGUAAUUGAGGAGAUAAGGUUGAUCAACCUCGUCUUCCUGCAAAUAAUGCUCGAUGUGUCUCUCGUGCAAAUGAUGAGACUUUGGUCAAUAAUGACCGUGGGCAACAUUUUUGAGCUAAAUCAAAGUUCAACAUUCCACCAUUCUGAGGGAGGUAUGAUCCCGAAGCAUAUUGUGAGUGAGACUCAAAAAUUGAACUUAUGUUUUGUUACUAUAAAUGUUGGAAAGAGGAAAAAGUCUUACUACAAA